RNAcentral lists this transfer RNA (73 nucleotides) under Camelus bactrianus (Bactrian camel). It matches the Rfam family "tRNA". Rfam says of the family: Transfer RNA (tRNA) molecules are approximately 80 nucleotides in length. Their secondary structure includes four short double-helical elements and three loops (D, anti-codon, and T loops). RNAcentral also lists the same sequence under 2 other names. Lineage: Eukaryota; Metazoa; Chordata; Mammalia; Artiodactyla; Camelidae. The record is from Rfam by way of RNAcentral.
GAGGGUAUAGCUCAGUGGUAAAGCCCAUGCUUAGGAUGCACAAAGGUCCUGGGUUCAAUCCCCAGUACCUCCA